RNAcentral lists this ribosomal RNA (474 nucleotides) under uncultured bacterium. Its description in RNAcentral is "SSU rRNA". It matches the Rfam family "Bacterial small subunit ribosomal RNA", at positions 26 to 518 of the family's 1533-position model. The record is from RNAcentral.
AGGACGAACGCUGGCGGCGUGCUUAACACAUGCAAGUCGAGCGGAAAGGCCCUUCGGGGUACUCGAGCGGCGAACGGGUGAGUAACACGUGAGCAACCUGCCCUUAGCUCUGGGAUAGCUCCGGGAAACCGGAAUUAAUACCGGAUACGACCUAGGCCGACAUCGGCCGUGGUGGAAAGUUUUUCGGCUAGGGAUGGACUCGCGGCCUAUCAGCUAGUUGGUGGGGUAAAGGCCUACCAAGGCGACGACGGGUAGCCGGCCUGAGAGGGCGACCGGCCACACUGGGACUGAGACACGGCCCAGACUCCUACGGGAGGCAGCAGUGGGGAAUCUUGCGCAAUGGGCGAAAGCCUGACGCAGCGACGCCGCGUGGGGGAUGAAGGCCUUCGGGUUGUAAACCCGUUUCAGCAGGGACGAAGCGAAAGUGACGGUACCUGCAGAAGAAGCGCCGGCUAACUACGUGCCAGCAGCCGC